GUGUUCACUUUGCAGCACAUAUACUAAAAAUUGGAAUGAUAACAGAGAAGAUUAGAAUGGCCCUUACACAAGGAUGACACGUAAAUUCGUGAAGCGUUCUGCUUUUUU
Molecule: small nuclear RNA, 108 nt
Organism: Tupaia belangeri (northern tree shrew)
Lineage: Eukaryota; Metazoa; Chordata; Mammalia; Scandentia; Tupaiidae
Source: Ensembl